Long non-coding RNA from Rhincodon typus (whale shark), 1466 nucleotides. RefSeq lists it as uncharacterized. Lineage: Eukaryota; Metazoa; Chordata; Chondrichthyes; Orectolobiformes; Rhincodontidae. The transcript has 2 exons. The record is from RefSeq and is a predicted model, not a curated record.
ACAGAGAUGAUAGUGGUCUUCUUGAAGCAGGUGGGGACUUCAGCUCGUAGCAAGGAGAGGUUAAAGAUGUCAGCGAAUACUCCCACCAGCUGGCCUGCAACGGAUCCGACCACAUGGCCAGGGCCUCCAUCUAGGCCAGUCGCUUUCCACGGGUUCACUCUUAAGAAGGUUGAUCUGACGUCUGCAGCAGUGACUGAGGAAACAGGCGCAACAGAUACUGUUGGGGUAGAUGAACUGUUUUCCUGACUUUCUGUGAGCUUAAUAAGCAGUGUGGACAUCGGGGAGGGAUGUAUUUUUGUCCAUGAUUCUGUUCUGCUUCAUUUUGUAGCCCAUUAUGUUGCGUAGGCCUUGUCACAGACUGCAGGUGUCCAUGUGGUUCGUUUGGGUCUCUAACUUAGUCCGGUGUUGCCUCUUAGCAUCUCUUAAGAGGGAGAUCAGGAAGACAAAAACAGUGUAUGAGACAGCCUUGGCAAAUAAGGAUAAUCUAAAGAGAUUCUAUAAGUACUUUAACAGCCAAAGAGAGUAGGACCCCUUAAAGAUCAAAAAGGUCACUUUGUGUUAAACCCUCAGGAGAUGCAAGAGAUAUUAAAUAAAUAUUUCACCUAAGUUUUUACGGUGGGGAAAGAAAUGGAGGCUAGAGAACUCAGGGAAAUUAAUACUAAUGUUCUGAAAACAGUUCAUAUUACAGAAGAGAGUGUUGGAGGUCGUAGAAAACAUAAGGGUGUAAACGUAAAUCUCCGGGACCUGAUCUAAUAUAUAGAGAUAGUAGAAACUGCCACUGCUGGAGAAUCUGAGAUAACAAGGUGUACAGCUGGAUGAACACAGCAGGCCAAGUAGCAUCAGAGAUAAUCUAAUAUAUCCCAGGAUGCUGUGGGAAGUUAGGAAGGAAAUUGCAGGGCCUCUUGCUGCAAUAUCUAUAUUAUCUAUAAAAACAGGUGACGUGCCAAAUAACUCGAGUGGCUAAUGUUGUGCCUUUGUAUAAGAAGGGAAGCAAGGAGAAGACUGGGAAUUAACUUCAGUGGUGGGCUGGAUCGCUGUUACCUGCUGACCACGUUCAGAACCUUGUGCAAAUGAGAACCGUUUACACCAGACCUAUAGCAGCUAUAUAGAACCACUCAAAUCCUAAAAAAAGGUUGGCAAUGAGAAAAGAUGGCGACCUACAAUAUCACAAGCCACAUGCAGCCAGCCAUCCACAAUGAUAAGGAGUUCAACAAGCAGCUGGAAAUGGUCAUCACUGAUCAGAGUGAAAUGUUACCCAAUAUUCAGAAUGCACUGCUACUGAAGAAAACCAAAAGCUAGUAAAAUAGUCAAGAAUGAAUCUUUUUAACCCACCUUCCUUGGGACGUUGGGUUAGUAUUUUGUAUUCAAAAUUACAACUAUGCCAUAAAGAACAUAUGAAGCUGUUGCCAGAUGGGAGUCUCUCCUCAAUGAGCAAAUAUUUUAAUAAAAUAAAGCAUAAAACAAAA